RNAcentral lists this transfer RNA (72 nucleotides) under Phycisphaeraceae bacterium. Its description in RNAcentral is "tRNA-Gly". It matches the Rfam family "tRNA". Rfam says of the family: Transfer RNA (tRNA) molecules are approximately 80 nucleotides in length. Lineage: Bacteria; Pseudomonadati; Planctomycetota; Phycisphaerae; Phycisphaerales; Phycisphaeraceae. RNAcentral also lists the same sequence under 3 other names. The record is from RNAcentral.
GCGGGUGUAGCUCAGUGGUAGAGCGUCACGUUGCCAACGUGAAUGUCGGCGGUUCGAAUCCGCUCACCCGCU